CAAUUGAGGCCAGAGGCAAUGGAAUGACAUAUUCCAAGUGGUAAAAUUGUGAACUAAAAAUUAUAUAUCCAGCACAACUAUGCUUUAAAAAUGAGGGAGAAAUAAAAACAUUUCCAGAUAAAGAAAGACUGAGAGAAUUAGUUGUUAGCAGAUCUGCCUUACAAGACAUACUAAAAGAAGUUCUUCAGGCUGAAAUGCAGUGACAAAAGGAGGUAACUCAAAUCCACAGAAUAAGAUAAUGAGCACUGGAAAAGGUAAAUAUGUAGAUAAAUAUAAAACAAUCUAUAAAUGUAUUUUCCUAAUUUUUUUCCUUAACUUCUUUAAAAGACAUAAGAUCAUGUAAAGCAAUAAUUAUAAUGCUGAAUUGUUAGAUUAAUAGUUUUUUUAUAUGUGAAAAUAAUAGCUCAAAAGAGGGAUGAGGAAAUGGAAGUAUAUCAAAAAUUCUUUUACUGGAAUUAAAUUAGUAUUAUUUUUAAGUACAUCAUAAUAAAUUAUGAUGUAUAUUGUAAUCCCUAGCACAACCACUAAGAAAAAAACUCAAAAAAUACAGUAAAAUUUAUAUACAAAUAGCCUCCAACUUAAGGGUUCUAUUUCAACAACUCUGUUGUAAGUCAGCUCUGACGUAAGUCAAAUACCUCAUUUUAUUUUAUUUUUUUAGUUUUCAUUAUUAUUGCCUUUUAGUAUCAGUAUCUUUAUAAACCUGAUCUUUGUUUGUCUUUGGAAACAUUAAAUAUAAACUUACAUAUAUAUUUUAAUGCAUACAUAUAUACAUAAAAUAGUACACAAAUUAUAAAAUUUACUCUGGAAAUGAAGAAGAGUUGGACAACGUUGGCAUUUUGUCAGUUUCAGUAAUAACUUCCCUUAUGGAAGGUUCCGGAUCAUUUGGAUUAUCCCUGGAAAUGAAGAUGGUGUUUCUAGUCAGGAUAUUAGUGAGAGGUGGCGCUCAGAUUCUUUCCCUACCUGAGUAGCCCACUUGACGCUUCGUAGUCAAGUGUGCUUUUACUAUUAACCUUCUGCUUGCUAAUAAACCCCUGCUUGCUUGGUACUAGUUUUCUCAGUGUUUGAAUUCUUUCCUACACCAAAGGUAAGAACCGAGGCCAUUCUCCGGUAACAUAUUCUGGUGCCCUGACUCGGAUCACAAGCAUCCUCCUCCUUCGUCCAGAAAGUGCCAGGAAUGGACACACCUUUGGAGUCAGUCGCUGUGUUUCAUAAGCAAGUGUGAGCUUUUUCUGCAUGGGAUGCGUGACUGGAUGAGGCCAUGGUUUCUGUGUAGGCGCCAGUGUGGGAGAGAUCAGUAUCUCUCCUUAUGGACAACAUUUGCUCUGGGAACAACUGAGUAUAAAGGUAGGACACUCACCACGCUCCUCCUAAAUCCUAGCAGCAUAGGUGAUAAAAACUCCUGUCAAAAAGAGGUGUCUUGACUCCCUCUGGUCUGGAAUUCAAUGAACCUCUGAAUGUUCAAAGUUUUAGGUUAGAUAAGCAUCAAGAAGUUGAACGCUUAUCUGGAAACUUUGAACUUUCAGUGCCUAUUUGGGUGGGAAAUAUGAGACAAAGUUUUCUUGCCUGAUUUCCAGAACUUCCUAAUUUUGAAGGGGCCAGAAAUUCUUUGAAAAAAGAAAAGCCACUGUGGUGUCCAGAGAACUAGAGUAGAGAGAGCCGGGCUGAAGUGUUCAGGAGCUGCCUCUCCUUUCCACCCCCUAACAUAACCUACCUUACGGAGCUCUCCAAAC
Molecule: long non-coding RNA, 1730 nt
Organism: Loxodonta africana (African savanna elephant)
Lineage: Eukaryota; Metazoa; Chordata; Mammalia; Proboscidea; Elephantidae
Exons: 3
Source: RefSeq, a predicted model, not a curated record